AUACGGAGGGUGCAAGCGUUACUCGGAAUCACUGGGCGUAAAGCGCGCGCAGGCGGCUAUUUAAGUUGGAUGUGAAAGCCUCCGGCUCAACCGUAGAACUGCAUCCAAAACUAUUUAGCUAGAGUGUGGGAGAGGAAGAUGGAAUUAGUUGUGUAGGGGUAAAAUCCGUAGAGAUAACUAGGAAUACCAAAAGCGAAGGCAAUCUUCUGGAACACUACUGACGCUGAGGCGCGAAAGCGUGGGGAGCAAACAGGAUUAGAAACCCUAGUAGUCC
This 274-nucleotide ribosomal RNA is filed under the name uncultured bacterium. RNAcentral describes it as "partial 16S ribosomal RNA". It matches the Rfam family "Bacterial small subunit ribosomal RNA", at positions 523 to 796 of the family's 1533-position model. The record is from RNAcentral.